RNAcentral lists this ribosomal RNA (162 nucleotides) under uncultured bacterium. RNAcentral describes it as "partial 16S ribosomal RNA". It matches the Rfam family "Bacterial small subunit ribosomal RNA", at positions 393 to 539 of the family's 1533-position model. The record is from RNAcentral.
CAUGCCGCGUGUGUGAAGAAGGUCUUCGGAUUGUAAAGCACUUUAAGUUGGGAGGAAGGGCAGUAAGUUAAUACCUUGCUGUUUUGACGUUACCAACAGAAUAAGCACCGGCUAACUUCGUGCCAGCCCCGUCGGUGACUGAGCGGGCUGGCAAGGCGCAUA